Octopus sinensis (East Asian common octopus) is the source of this 119-nucleotide ribosomal RNA. The record is from RefSeq and is a predicted model, not a curated record. Lineage: Eukaryota; Metazoa; Mollusca; Cephalopoda; Octopoda; Octopodidae.
AUAUAUGGCCAUAACAUGUUGAAAGCACCAGUUCUCGUCCGAUCACCGAAGUUAAGCAACGUUGAGCCUAGUUAGUACUUAGAUGGGUGACCGCUUGGGAAACAUAGGUGCUAUAAGUA